ACCGAGUGGAAAGCAGUUUAUCUGGAGCU
RNAcentral lists this non-coding RNA (29 nucleotides) under Rattus norvegicus (Norway rat). The record is from RNAcentral. Lineage: Eukaryota; Metazoa; Chordata; Mammalia; Rodentia; Muridae.